GGGCGAGUGGCGAAAUGGCAGACGCGCUGGCUUCAGGUGCCAGUGUUCGAAAGGACGUGGGGGUUCAAGUCCCCCCUCGCCCACAA
This 86-nucleotide transfer RNA is filed under the name Acidimicrobiia bacterium BACL6 MAG-120924-bin43. RNAcentral's name for it is "tRNA-Leu". It matches the Rfam family "tRNA". From Rfam's summary of the family: Transfer RNA (tRNA) molecules are approximately 80 nucleotides in length. Their secondary structure includes four short double-helical elements and three loops (D, anti-codon, and T loops). Further hydrogen bonds mediate the characteristic L-shaped molecular structure. tRNAs have two regions of fundamental functional importance: the anti-codon, which is responsible for specific mRNA codon recognition, and the 3' end, to which the tRNAs corresponding amino acid is attached (by aminoacyl-tRNA synthetases). tRNAs cope with the degeneracy of the genetic code in two manners: having more than one tRNA (with a specific anti-codon) for a particular amino acid; and 'wobble' base-pairing, i.e. permitting non-standard base-pairing at the 3rd anti-codon position. The record is from RNAcentral. Lineage: Bacteria; Bacillati; Actinomycetota; Acidimicrobiia. RNAcentral also lists the same sequence under 2 other names.